ACAAAUAUUAACUGACCACACAAAAAAAAUCAGAAGAGUUCUGAGAGAGAGAGAACGAAAGAGUCUGAACCCUAAAAUAUCGAUUUCAGCCAUUGCCGUUCAUCUCCUCACCGCCAUUGCCGCCAUGUCUCCUCCAUCAAAGCGUCGCCGGUGGAGUUAUGAGGACAAGGUGAUUGUGGAGCUUCUCAAUUUGUGGAGCUCUCGCCUCUCGAGAUAGUAAUGUUUUACAUCUUCCAUUUCUGUGUCGUUUUCCACGGCGGGUGCUGCAGCCGCUGGUUCUGCUUUUGCUCCAGCGGCUUGAAGCACUCAGAGGGGUUUGGGGGCGGACUCGGUGGCACUGGCUGAAUAGAUCUGUAAGGCGAGUGAGUGAAAGACUUUGGAAGCUUCGAUUGAAGCUAUCAAAUCUUAUGGAACUAAUUCUUAUGUCAUUCCGAGUCAUUGAGAAUUUUCAGGAAGAGUGCUAAUGCAAGCUUAUGUGACGGCUUCCCCUGCACUACUCCAAUACAUCGACAACAUCUUUCUUUCAAGAGAAUUGGGUUCUGUUAAGAAUUCAAGAACUCGAAUGCUCCAAGAUAAUCCACCUAGAACUUAAGAGAACCAAUGCAUAUUCCAAAGUCAAUUAUCAUUAG
Arachis stenosperma is the source of this 629-nucleotide long non-coding RNA. RefSeq lists it as uncharacterized. NCBI's taxonomy places the organism in Eukaryota, Viridiplantae, Streptophyta, Magnoliopsida, Fabales, Fabaceae. The transcript is spliced from 3 exons. The record is from RefSeq and is a predicted model, not a curated record.